GACGAACGCUGGCGGCGUGCUUAACACAUGCAAGUCGAACGGAAAGGCCCUGCUUUUGUGGGGUGCUCGAGGGGCGAACGGGUGAGUAACACGUGAGUAACCUGCCCUUGACUUUGGGAUAACCUCAGGAGACUGGGGCUAAUACCGGAUAGGAGAUCCUGCUGCUUGGGGGGGGUUGGAACGCUUGGGCGGGUGUGGAUGGACUGGGGGGUUAUUAGCUUGUUGGUGGGGUAGUGGCUUAGCAAGGCAUUGGCGGGUAGCCGGCCUGAGUGGUGGGCCGGCCACCUGGGGCCUGAGGUACGGACCAGACUGCUACGGGAGGCAGCAGUGGGGAGUAUUGCACAGUGGGCGGAAGUCUGUGGCGGAAGCGCCGCGUGCGGGAUGACGGCCUUCGGGUUGUAAAGCGCUUUCGCCUGUGACGUAGCGGGAGUGACGGUAAUGGGUAAAGAAGCACCGGCUAACUACGUG
This 468-nucleotide ribosomal RNA is filed under the name uncultured bacterium. RNAcentral's name for it is "partial 16S ribosomal RNA". It matches the Rfam family "Bacterial small subunit ribosomal RNA", at positions 28 to 507 of the family's 1533-position model. The record is from RNAcentral.